UACGUAGGGUGCAAGCGUUGUCCGGAAUUAUUGGGCGUAAAGGGCUCGUAGGCGGUCCGUCACGUCGGGAGUGAAAUCCUGGGGCUUAACCCCAGAACUGCUUCCGAUACGGGCAGACUAGAGGUAGGUAGGGGAGAAUGGAAUUCCUGGUGUAGCGGUGGAAUGCGCAGAUAUCAGGAGGAACACCUGUGGCGAAAGCGGCUCACUGGACCACAACUGACGCUGAAGCACGAAAGCUAGGGGAGCAAACAGG
This 253-nucleotide ribosomal RNA is filed under the name uncultured bacterium. RNAcentral describes it as "partial 16S ribosomal RNA". It matches the Rfam family "Bacterial small subunit ribosomal RNA", at positions 524 to 776 of the family's 1533-position model. The record is from RNAcentral.